GCUCAACCGAAGAAGUGCAUCGGAAACUGGGAAACUUGAGUGCAGAAGAGGACAGUGGAACUCCAUGUGUAGCGGUGAAAUGCGUAGAUAUAUGGAAGAACACCAGUGGCGAAGGCGGCUGUCUGGUCUGUAACUGACGCUGAGGCUCGGAAGAAUGGGUAGCAAACAGGAUUAGAUACCCUGGUAGUCCAUACCGUAAACGAUGAAUGCUAAGUGUUGGAGGGUUUCCGCCCUUCAGUGCUGCAGCUAACGCAUUAAGCAUUCCGCCUGGGGAGUACGGCCGCAAGGCUGAAACUCAAAGGAAUUGACGGGGGCCCGCACAAGCGGUGGAGCAUGGGGUUUAAUUCGAAGCUACGCGAAGAACCUUACCAGGUCUUGGCAUACUAUGCAAAUCUAAGAGAUUAGACGUUCCCUUCGGGGACAUGGAUACAGGUGGUGCAUGGUUGUCGUCAGCUCGUGUCGUGAGAUGUUGGGUUAAGUCCCGCAACGAGCGCAACCCUUAUUAUCAGUUGCCAGCAUUAAGUUGGGCACUCUGGUGAGACUGCCGGUGACAAACCGGAGGAAGGUGGGGAUGACGUCAAAUCAUCAUGCCCCUUAUGACCUGGGCUACACACGUGCUACAAUGGAUGGUACAACG
RNAcentral lists this ribosomal RNA (637 nucleotides) under uncultured bacterium. RNAcentral's name for it is "bacterial SSU rRNA". It matches the Rfam family "Bacterial small subunit ribosomal RNA", at positions 607 to 1244 of the family's 1533-position model. The record is from RNAcentral.